Molecule: small RNA, 786 nt
Filed under: Histoplasma capsulatum
Lineage: Eukaryota; Fungi; Ascomycota; Eurotiomycetes; Onygenales; Ajellomycetaceae
Also listed under: 1 other name
Description: hypothetical RNA
Source: RNAcentral
AAGGGGGGAGUGGACGGGAAUUGUUCCAGUGUUCAAGUUGUAGAACGCCAUGUCAUUUUAUCGGAAUAGAUGUCUACAGAUUGAGCUGUCCAAGUAGCUAGCUUGUUGUCCGGUGAUCCAGCCGUAGAUUUUUCUUUCUUUUUUUUGAUAUACCAUUGUGUACGUGUCUUAGUUGAUAUCCAUCUGUUGUUUUUUUCUUUUUUACAUGGAUAAUGUGAUUUCUAUAAACUACUAAGGGAAAAAAUGAAAAUUAACGCCCGAAGGAUAGAUAAAUGGGCUCAUGCUCUCAUUUGGAUAUGUAUAUGCUUGACUUCGCUUUGAUUGGAUCUGUAUGUCAGAUGAAGUGCAAACUAUCAUCGUCCCAAUGCAGCAUUCACAACUCUCCUCGCAUUCUCACCACCUAGGUAAUCCCUUCCCUCCCUCCUUUCUCUAUCUUCCUCCUCGUCACCUAUCUCCAAUUCAAUGUCCAAACUCGCAGAAUAUGCUUUCAUAACCGUAUCCUCAUCAACCUUAACUCCCCCUUCUACAAGCACCCGAAUGCACCCGCAAAGCCUUGCAAUCUCCCUCCUCGUUGCAGGCCCGAUUUCAUCGUUCUGGCUCGAGUAAAUGGCACUACUGACCAUCUCCUCCAUGCGCGUAAUAGACACAUCUCCAGCAGCAGUACCACCUAGAUCCCCAUCUCCAACAUGUUUCGCAAUCCAUAUAUAUCCAUUAACACCCAAUAUAACAUCAAUCUCCCCCGCGCCAUGCGACGCAGUGAACGUCCACACUUGCCUCCGGGACCUG